CGUGUGCGUGCAUGUGGUUAGGGUUUGAGCUAAACGACCGCGUUUAGCUAGGGCGCGCCAAAUAUUCAAAUUAUUCCUCCCUUCGAUUCCCCGUGUCUGCACUAAUCCAAAUUGCGUUGCUGAAUUAUUUCAUAUGCUUCACCCAUUCAUAUUCAUGCUUCAUCAUUCAUUUUUAAUUUUUCUCUUCACUUAAAAAAUCAUAACUCCAUAAAUAAUUAUCCAAAUGACAUGGGAAUUUUUGCAUCUU
Molecule: long non-coding RNA, 247 nt
Filed under: Lathyrus oleraceus (garden pea)
Lineage: Eukaryota; Viridiplantae; Streptophyta; Magnoliopsida; Fabales; Fabaceae
Description: Pisum sativum (pea) long non-coding RNA (PSAT_LNC001819)
Source: RNAcentral